Molecule: ribosomal RNA, 443 nt
Filed under: uncultured bacterium
Lineage: Bacteria
Description: bacterial SSU rRNA
Rfam family: Bacterial small subunit ribosomal RNA
Source: RNAcentral
AACGAACGCUGGCGGCAUGCCUAACACAUGCAAGUCGAGCGAGAAAGGGCUUCGGCCCCGGUAAAGCGGCGCACGGGUGAGUAACACGUGGAUAACCUACCCCUUGGUGGUGGAUAACCUUCCGAAAGGAGGGCUAAUACAGCGUAAGACCACGACUUCGAAAGAGGUUGGGGUAAAAGUGGGCCUCUGUACACAAGCUCACGCCAGGGGAUGGGUCCGCGGCCCAUCAGCUAGUUGGUAGGGUAACGGCCUACCAAGGCGAAGACGGGUAGCUGGUCUGAGAGGAUGAUCAGCCACACUGGCACUGGAACACGGGCCAGACUCCUACGGGAGGCAGCAGUGGGGAAUAUUGGACAAUGGGCGCAAGCCUGACCCAGCCACGCCGCGUGAGUGAUGAAGGCCUUCGGGUUGUAAAGGACUCUUUUACCCGGGACGUUGAUAAU